Molecule: unclassified non-coding RNA, 298 nt
Filed under: plant metagenome
Description: partial contains 5.8S ribosomal RNA, internal transcribed spacer 2, and large subunit ribosomal RNA
Rfam family: 5.8S ribosomal RNA (bases 1-105)
Source: RNAcentral
GAAAUGCGAUAAGUAAUGUGAAUUGCAGAAUUCAGUGAAUCAUCGAAUCUUUGAACGCACAUUGCGCCCCCUGGUAUUCCGGGGGGCAUGCCUGUUCGAGCGUCAUUUCACCACUCAAGCCUCGCUUGGUAUUGGGCAACGCGGUCCGCCGCGUGCCUCAAAUCGACCGGCUGGGUCUUCUGUCCCCUAAGCGUUGUGGGAACUAUUCGCUAAAGGGUGUUCGGGAGGCUACGCCGUAAAACAACCCCAUUUCUAAGGUUGACCUCGGAUCAGGUAGGGAUACCCGCUGAACUUAAGC